Long non-coding RNA from Orcinus orca (killer whale), 3814 nucleotides. RefSeq lists it as uncharacterized. The transcript is spliced from 2 exons. The record is from RefSeq and is a predicted model, not a curated record. Lineage: Eukaryota; Metazoa; Chordata; Mammalia; Artiodactyla; Delphinidae.
AAGACCAUAGCAUAUUGUUUUGCAAUUUGCUUUUUUCCCCUUAACAAUAUGUUUUGGAGAUGUUCUGUGUAGGUAAAUACAGAUCUGCUUCAUUCUCCUUCACUGUUGUGAAAUAUUGCAUAGCCUAGAUGAAAUAUUGUAUGUUGCAUGUUGUUUCCCGUGUCUAGGAACACCCUGGCACAUGCCAUUUUGAGCACAUGUACAAGGAUUUCACUCAGAUACCUAGCAAUGGAAUUGCUGGGCGAAGGAGCACAUGCAUUUAACAUUUUAAUAGCUGCUCCCAAUCGCCCUCCCAAAAGGCAGUAUCUAUGUACAUUCUGGGUAUGAAAGCCCCUGCUUUCUCUAUACCCUUAUUUGUUUUUAUUGAGCUCUUUUAUUUUUUACCAAUCUGUUGGUCAAAAAAACAUGAUUUCAUUGUUAAAAUAAAAACUUCAGUUCAAUCUUCCUGGCCAGGAAACUGUGAGCGAUUCACAUUAGUAACAUAAUAACAUGUACAGUAAUAACACUAUUUAACCACUGUGUGCUUUGUUACUAUUUUACAGGGAGUGAGUAACUAAGCCGGUCUCUACCCUUUUGCAGGGGAAUCUCGUUAUGUAUCAGUUUUCUCCACACACUUCACUGUACCUUUUAGAUGUAAAACGCCAGCGUCUGGGGUCUUGCAGGGCCUCUGGGGAAUGCCCCACCCAGUCCCCCAUCCUCUCUUCUCUGGAAUGGCUCCAAAGAGUUCUUUGGCCACAGCCUGCCCUUCCUUCACGUCCGUUCCUGCCACACAGUUCAUGCCCUGGAAUGAUGAUGCCAAUUGUCUGGUCUGACACAGCAGUGCAUUCUCUGCUCCCGGCCUCUGGGUUUCUCCUUUGAUCAGCGUGGGACACGUCAGCAGAAGUCGUUGGUUUUGUCCCUUGCUUGACUUAGAUGAUGCCAGGCUUAUCUUCUGGUACAUCAGAAGCUGAACCACCAGCUGGAUCCUGCCUUAAUCUUUUCCAAGCUCACACGUCAUCUAGUACAAUGUUUUCCACAGAGGAGUCCCUUUUAUUUAUUUUUUAUUUGUUUUGGCCACACUGUGCAGCAUGCGGGAUCUUAGUUCUCUGAGCAGUGAUGGAACCCUGCGCCCCCUGCAGUGGAAGCGUGGAGUCUUAACCACUGGACCGCCAGGGAAGUGCCGGGGAGUCCCUUUUGUUUGUUUGUUUUUGUUCGUUUGUUUUUUUGCGGUACGCGGGCCUCUCAUUGUUGUAGCCUCUCCCGUUGUGGAGCACAGGCUCCGGACGCGCAGGCUCAGCGGCCAUGGCUCACGGGCCCAGCCGCUCCGCGGCACGUGGGAUCUUCCCGGAGCAGGGCACGAACCCGCGUCCCCUGCAUCGGCAGGCGGACUCUCAACCACUGCGCCACCAGGGAAGCCCGGAGAGUCCCUUUGAAAAGGAAAAGCUUUAAGAGCAUUUAAAUUUUUACACCAUUUAAUUUCAUGACUCUUUCUCUUCCCCAUCUCCACCUCGAUGUCUUGGGUUCCUUGUUCUAUUUUUCUCAUCCUCUGUACUCAGGAAGACACCAAAAUGGUGGCUGUGAAAGGAUUUUUCUCCCUGAAAGUUUCCUCUGGACACUGUUCUCUGUUACUAACAAGGCACACCUUAGAACCACUUAGUGCCUUAAUAUUAAUCUCUGGGGAUUGAACUGGACUCACCACUCAGUACGGCUGUAUUUAAUAGUGGCUUCCUUCCGAGGCUUACAUUUUUAGAGAGGUCAUAGGAUUUUAAGGCAGGGUGACUUGUUCUGAUGGUUUCAGGUUAAUUUCCUAUUUGUAUCAGAUUAAUUUCCUAUUUGUAUCAGAAAACCAUUUGCUUGCUGGUUUGACUAUCUCCUUUCCUAAAGUCAAUUGAGACCGAAUUUGGUUUUUACCCCUUUAUCCAGUCCAGCUACCACAGAACCUUUGUUUUGCCAGUGCAGUAAUAUUAUUCUCUCGUUUCUAAAGUGCUCUAGUUCAGGCUAUGAGUUCUGCCAACAGGACAGUGCAAGGCAAUCGAUAUAGUUAGCAAAGAACCAUAUUUUCUUCAGGAUAACUUCUUCUUUUGGAUAUUUUGGUCACUUUGCCUUGGACUUUGUUUUUCUUUCAUAUUUUCUAGUAUAUGCUGGGAAACAUAAGUGGAUGGUUUAAUAGUUUUGCGUGUGGGUUCUUGAACCAGGUGGCCUGGGUUCAAAUCCCAGCUCUGCGACUUCCUAGCCGUGUGACCUUGGGCAAGUUACUUAAGCUCUCUGUGUCUCAGUUUUCAUGUCAGUGGUUGUUAAAGAAAUGCAAGUAUCAUUCAGUCAAAAAAAUAUUCCUUCCUUCCUUCCUCCUCCCUCCCUCCCUCCCUCCCUCCCUCCCUUCCUCCCUUCCUUCCUUCCUUCCUUCCUUCAUUCCUUCCUUCCUUCCUUCCUUCCUUCCUUUGUCAGUCAUCUAUUCAAGCCACAAACUUUUCCAGAGUGCCUGGGACAAUGUGCUAGGCUCUAUAAACAGGGAUACAAAGACAAAUAAUCCAUGGUCUCGGCCCUUAGGAAAUUCUAAUGAGGGAUGUGCUUGUUACUUAUGGUGAGGAUAGAUCACCUGGAAGAGGAAAGCAUGAAUAAGAAAAUUGACCAAUUUGAAGUUGAAGAUCCAGACUCAUUCUUUCAUCAAUCUCCAAGUUACUUUCUCCCGAGAAAGAGUAAUUUCUUGGGCUGAUGUUCAACUUGAGCAAACACCUGAAAGGAACAGCCUGUGGAAGCUACUGAUAGUAACUCUGUUCUCCACAAACUGGUUUCCAUGUUGUUGCCAGACAGGAUUCUGGCAUUGGCCAGGGAAUCCCGUGCUCAGGUAGGCUUCCCUUCCUCAGGGGACCCCCUACUCUGAGAUGGUGGUGACCCUUGCGUUGGAGAUCUACCACAUAGGCUUCAGGAACUCUUAGUGGAAUUCAAUCCACUGGUUAGAGCUCCUGCCGCAUGGCAUCCGGGUCAGUUGUGGUACAGAGAAAAGAUGCAGAGUGGACAGUAACACACCCUCCUUUCUACACGUUCCUCACUUGACAACAUCUUGUUCCUCAGUAUUGAAUUGCACCUUAUCUCUUUUCUUCUGCCACCGCCAAACCCUUGAGGCCAGGGACUGGGUCUGCUGUACUGAUGAACCUGAGAUGGCAUUGUCCCCUUUCUAUGAGGGUCACUGGACUUUCACAGAAGGAUGUCUUUCAGCUGAUGCCAGCUCCCUUCUUAAGAUCCUGUUAUCUCUCCUACAGGCAGAGCUUCCUAGUGAUGGGUGGGCUGGACUGAGAUGCGGUGGGGCGUAAACGUGGGGCUCCUCGUUUUUUUUAUAUAUUAGGCAUUUGAGAAACGUUAAUUGGUUGGGUGAUUUGAUGUGCGACUGGUAACAACCCUUGUCCUUGUUGUUAGAAUGCACCACAGCCAUCAGCCCUGGAAUGCAAAGACCAGAAUAAACUUGAGGAAGCCACCAGCCAAGCCCGGGCAGAGUCAGUCUCCACCCCAAACACAGAGCUGUAGCCGCGGCCAGGAAGAAAUCCGCCCCCUCUGAAGGCUGUUUUUGUGACUGUUCUUGGGAGCAUUGUUCUAAAAAUGGGAAAUUACAUAUCACUGUGCCAAAGGAAACAAACACCUGCAAUUAAAGGAAUACCUUCCACGAGGUGGCUUUUAGAGUCCCGGUCGGCUCUGGACGAAGGGCUGCUGCACCAGUUCUUUUUGGUGCGUUUCUUCACUUCUAAGGGAAUCGGGUUUGUAACCAGAGUGGGCUUUGGCAACGAUGGGGCUCGGGUUGUGGUCCUUCACUUAUUCACUCAGUAAACAUCUAUCAAGCAUC